UCGCAGACGGGCACCGGGGAUCGCAUCAUUAUCAUGGGCACUGUUUUCUUUUCGCGGCGCUGCUGUUUGCUUUUCGCUCUCGCCUGGGCCGGCAGGUUGGCGGGAGGCAGCGGGGGCGCAGAUGUUGACGAGUGCGCAGAAGCUACGGAUGACUGUCACAUUGACGCAAUUUGUCAAAACACACCAAAAUCCUACAAAUGCAUCUGCAAGCCGGGCUACAAAGGGGAAGGGAAGCAGUGCGAAGGUAGGAACAGAUCGGCUUCUCUCCUGUCUCUUCUCCCCUCCCUUCUUUUAUUUGUUUGCUCUUUGAAAGCUUUUGUAAAUAGCUGAAUUCCUGAAACGAUUAAUGCAGAUUUACAGCUGCUUAACCUCAAAUCUGGGUGUUUAUUGGCAAGCAUCCCCCUGCUGCUUUUGCUAAUUGUUCGGCACCGCAAAACGUUGUGCCCGCCAGCCUGC
Cyanistes caeruleus (blue tit) is the source of this 456-nucleotide non-coding RNA. NCBI's taxonomy places the organism in Eukaryota, Metazoa, Chordata, Aves, Passeriformes, Paridae. The record is from RefSeq and is a predicted model, not a curated record.